GCCCUGGCCCACUGGAGACUCAUUUUGGCUUGAGGCUUCCCCAGGGAGGGACCCUGUUGGCUCUGAAAUUCAGCUGGAAAUUGUCCCAGUGUGGAUCAGAGUGAAGAUGUGCACAGUGGCCUUGGAGACAGAGUGUCCCUGGUGGCGAUGACCAGAACCCAAGAAGACUGGCUGUCAGAAGGGGCAGGGUGGAGGCUCCUGGCAGCUAAAGCCCAGAGAGGAAGGAGGCCCACAGCCGGGCACUGCCCAAGAGGAGAAGCUGCAUCCACCCACCUGGGCCCUCCUCCUGGAUCCCCCAGGCCCCUUGUGAGGAUCAGCAGGCUGUGUGGCCUGUUACAGCAGGCAUCAGGGGACCCUAGGCUCAGUGUCCCCAGUCCUGGUCCCCACCUGCCUCCCCGCUGCCGUCUGAGAUUGGCCUGGCUCACACCUGACUUCCAUCUGGAGACCUCAGGAGCCCGUGAGAAGCUCCUGUCCAUCCAGGUGGGCCCCACCCGCACUCUCCUCAGGGGUGCUUGGACACUUCCUUCCAGGCAGGGCGUGCCUCUGCCAGCAGCCAGCUCGGUGCCAGUUCUGACUCGCCCAGUGUGCGCUGCCCUGUCCUGGGCUCCUGUUAGUGGCACCCACAGUGCCUUGGAAACGUGCAAAACUCAGACCCCUGUCUCAGAGUCCACCACGACUGCCUGCCAUGCCCCUGGCUCUGAGCCCAGCGUUGUGCUUCCUGGACCAACUGAAGGUGUGCUUCUCCACAUUCCUCUUAAGUUCUCACAGAAAUUUAAGCCUUGAAGCUUGGUGUCAUGGAACAAGUCCCCCGGGGAGGUCAGGACUGUCAGGAUUGCUCAUCUGUUGCCCUGAAAUGCGUUCAAAACACACACAGGAGAAGAAAAGUCCUCUUUGACCUAGAAUCUCAGCCCAGUUAAGCUAGCUGCAUUUCGGAUGGCCAGCCAGGCGUCAGAAGCCUGCAUCCCACAAGGGUCCCUGCUGUCUGGUGAUCUGCGGUGUGUGUGGGUCCCUGUCCACGUGUCUUCUGCAGCACCACGUGCCGGGAGGGUCUUCAGCUCGCUGCCGGCCCCCAGGGGUCUGGCAUCUACUUCACACAUGACUGGAAGAAGAAGAAGGCUGACCACACAGCCAGGCGCGCAGGCCCUGGGACGACACCUGCCGUGAGCCGCUUGGCUCUCCAGGCGCCCACCGCAGCCUGGCCUGGGGCAGGCCCCCCACAUGGCUGGCAUGGAGUCUGCGAGAACAGUGCCCUGGCUUUCCCACAGGAUGCUGGGUACCAGGACCGCAAGCCCACCCGCCGCCCCUUCUCAGUCCGCAGACCUCUUGUGGUUGGGUUCUAUCUCCAGGCAGCUGUGUGGGGCCGCUCAGCAGUCCUCCAUGGUAGUCAGACCCUCCUCCCUGCCCAGCAACCUCACAAGUCACUUUUCCAAACAGGCUCUUGGGCCGUCAGCCCUGGGCCGUUUCCCCAGAGGUCUCCCUCCGAUUCCUGUUUGCUCUGCGCUUCUGAAGGUGGUGCUCAUCUUCCCUUCACGGGAUGCGCACCUUCCUGGACAGGCGUGUGGGCAGCUCGCUCUGGAAACUGCUGGGAAUCAGGCAUCAGCCCGGGGCUGUGCAUCCUGACUGCUCAGUGUCCCUGUACGUCCCAGCCCCGAGGCCCCUCACUGCAGCAGGACAGCCCCAGGGUUUCACUUUGGAAGGACAGAAGGCCACCUGGUCCUGGCCUGGUUGAGAUGCCCACAGCUGUGAGCUGAGUGUAGGAUUGUGACUGUGGCUUCCAAAGCAGCCUGUGGGAACCGUCACCAAAUGCAGCUACUUUUGAUAAUUUAGUGCCUUGCAAAGGUAACACUGGGUUAUCAGGGAGUGGGUGUCUAUUCUUUAUAUAUGCAAAUGGUCAGGUCACACCGGGCCUGAGGGCAAGUUGAGAUAGGCUCCCAGAAGCUUCGUGGGGCUCCAUGACACAGUGCACCUCUGGGAAGGCGUCCUCAGACCCAGCCUCACAGGCCAGAGAGGGCGCAGAGCAACAAGUGUCGCCCUGGCAUCUCCUCCCUCAGCUGGCCUGCCUUUACCCCUCCCCUCCCCAUGGCCUUCUCUUAGGCACACACCUGGAGGCACACUGCUUACGGGCCAGGAACUGAAAGCAGGCUGGGCUGGGCCUGCAGGCAGAGCGGCACCCGAGGCAGCGGACACUAGGGCAGAGAGUUGUUAGGAGGACCCACAGAAUGCAGGCCAAGAUGUCCUGUGGUGACGGGCCUUUCUGCAGAGCCUGGUAUCUGCACACCUGGGGCCCACAUGCCCGUGCGGCCCGUGCUCCACAGACCUCAUGGCUCCACCUCCCCGUGGUGAGGCGGGGGCCUGUCUCAGCCCCUCGGCUAACUGGUAAGGCGAGGUUGCGAUACAUCACUGAGUCGAUUUCAAAGGAGGAGACGGAAACUUGGUUCACCAGUUGGUGGUCUGGACCCACCAGCUGGCAGGCCAAGGGGUAGGCUGCAAGUCUACAUCCUUCGACCCCCUCCUAGGGUCCGAGUAUACCUUUUAUAGUGCAAAACCAUAUUAAAG
This 2556-nucleotide long non-coding RNA is filed under the name Marmota monax (woodchuck). Lineage: Eukaryota; Metazoa; Chordata; Mammalia; Rodentia; Sciuridae. The record is from RNAcentral.